UACGGAGGAUCCGAGCGUUAUCCGGAUUUAUUGGGUUUAAAGGGAGCGUAGAUGGGUUGUUAAGUCAGUUGUGAAAGUUUGCGGCUCAACCGUAAAAUUGCAAUUGAUACUGGCAGUCUUGAGUACAGUUGAGGUAGGCGGAAUUCGUGGUGUAGCGGUGAAAUGUUUAGAUAUCACGAAGAACUCCGAUUGCGAAGGCAGCUUACUAACCUGUAACUGACAUUGAUGCUCGAAAGUGUGGGUAUCAAACAGG
RNAcentral lists this ribosomal RNA (253 nucleotides) under Phocaeicola massiliensis B84634 = Timone 84634 = DSM 17679 = JCM 13223. Its description in RNAcentral is "partial 16S ribosomal RNA". It matches the Rfam family "Bacterial small subunit ribosomal RNA", at positions 524 to 776 of the family's 1533-position model. The record is from RNAcentral. Lineage: Bacteria; Pseudomonadati; Bacteroidota; Bacteroidia; Bacteroidales; Bacteroidaceae.